This is a non-coding RNA of Oryctolagus cuniculus (rabbit), 1589 nucleotides long. NCBI's taxonomy places the organism in Eukaryota, Metazoa, Chordata, Mammalia, Lagomorpha, Leporidae. The record is from RefSeq and is a predicted model, not a curated record.
UACAGGAGGGGAUGUAUCGGCUCAUGUGGCUGAAAAGGCAGUGGCUUCAGGUCCAGCUGGAUCCAGGAGCCAAAAGCGUUGGUCAGGAAUUAUUCUCUGUUUCUCAAUAGUGCUGCCUUCUCUUGGCCUCAUUGUUAGGCAGCUUAUCCCCUGCGAAACACCGCCAGCUGCUUCGAGCUCCCACCCCUGUGGCUGCAGAAAGCCCAGCUGGGUGUGGACCGACACGCGGCGGCUGUGGCCCUCUGUGCUUUAGCAGCUCCGGCUCCUACUUCUCCCUGACCUCAGGCAGUCAGCGCUGGCAGUCAGCGGGUGGGAGGCAGCAUCAGUCAAACCAGCGCGAGCACAAGGCCUUUCCCGGAAAAAGGGACUUAGGGGUCCCCUGGGGGGCAGCGGCCUUGACCUCGCCUCAGUCCAGGAGGAAUCGGGAGUCGUUAGGAGCCCAGCAGCCGCUCCCUCCCUGCGGCCCCCUCGGGCGCCGACUCCAGCCUUCGCCCUCUGCGCGCCUGGCUGUUCUGCAUGAACUGCGGCCAGGAGCCAGCAGCUCCCAGCCCCGCCGCGCAGGGCCCGCCCCUGCUCUACCGGCUUCCCGGGAAUCAGAAUCUGAUUGGGCCGCUGGCAUGAGAGGCAGGUCACAUGACCUCUGUGCAGCCUAUGGGAGCAGUGGAGGCCGGCUGCGGAAGGGGCGGGGCAGGGACCGGAUGUAGCUGGCUCUCUUCCUUGCUCCUGCGAUGGGGAGACAGCAAACCCCAGAGUGGUGGCCUGGUGUGACAGCACAGGUGUCCCCUGAUGUCGCCCCCAGUUGAAAACCACUGGUGCAGUCCUCAGCUACCACCUGGCGUCACCCGUCCUCAGAUACAGCUGACGUCACCCGUCCUCAGAUACAGCCUGGCGUCACCCGUCCUCAGAUACAGCUGACGUCACCCGUCCUCAGAUACAGCCUGACAUCACCCAUCUUCAGCUACAGCCUGGCGUCACCCUUCCUCAGCUACAACCUGGUGUCACCCGUCCUCAGAUACAGCUGACGUCACCCGUCCUCAGAUACAGCUUAGCGUCACCCGUCCUCAGAUACAGCUGACGUCACCCAUAUUUAGAUACAGUCUGACAUCACUCAUCUUCAGCUACAGCCUGGUGUCACCCGUCCUCAGGUACACCUGGUGUCACCCGUCCUCAGGUACACCUGUUGUCACCCACCCGUAUUUGUAGUCUGACAUCACUCAUCUUCAGCUACAGCCUGGUGUCACCCGUCCUCAGGUACACCUGGCGUCACCCGUCCUCAGUGACAGGACCUGGGGCACUGAUGGCCCUCGUGGAAGCCACUGGUUUAAUCUCCGUCCUCCUUGGGCUUGACCUCUCAGAGCAGUCGCUGUGACCGGCAUUCCUCCUGGAACACCUUCCGAAUCCCUGUGUCCUCACACACCGCCACGCUCCUUCUGGCUCACCGACUGUUUCUUCUGGGAAAGUGGAAUAAAAAAUGAGUUUAUCUUGCUGCAAAAAGUUUUGAAAUGUACCUGCAUGCGGGAGGCAUCGGGGUUCAUUGGGAAAUGUGCAUAAUUAAAAAUGAUUCACGGACCUCAAAAUUUUUUUUGUAU